This 252-nucleotide ribosomal RNA is filed under the name uncultured bacterium. RNAcentral's name for it is "partial 16S ribosomal RNA". It matches the Rfam family "Bacterial small subunit ribosomal RNA", at positions 524 to 775 of the family's 1533-position model. The record is from RNAcentral.
UACGUAGGCAGCGAGCGUUGUUCGGAAUUACUGGGCGUAAAGAGUGUGUAGGCGGUGCUCUAAGUUUGGUGUGAAAUCUCCCGGCUUAACUGGGAGGGUGCGCCGAAGACUGGAGUGCUCGAGUGUGGGAGAGGAAAGCGGAAUUCCUGGUGUAGCGGUGAAAUGCGUAGAUAUCAGGAGGAACACCUGUGGUGUAGACGGCUUUCUGGACCAUUACUGACGCUGAGACACGAAAGCGUGGGUAGCAAACAG